RNAcentral lists this ribosomal RNA (300 nucleotides) under uncultured bacterium. Its description in RNAcentral is "bacterial SSU rRNA". It matches the Rfam family "Bacterial small subunit ribosomal RNA", at positions 29 to 319 of the family's 1533-position model. The record is from RNAcentral.
AAUGAACGCUGGCGGCGCGCCUAAUACAUGCAAGUCGAGCGAGAAGACGUAGCAAUACGUUUGUAAAGCGGCGAACGGGUGAGGAAUACAUGGGUAACCUACCCUCGAGUGGGGAAGUAACUAGCCGAAAGGUUAGCUAAUACCGCGUACGCUUCUUGGACUUCGGUUCAGGGAGGAAAGCGAUGCCGAGGGUAUCGCGCUCUUGGAUGGGCUCAUGUCCUAUCAGCUUGNGGUGAGGUAACGGCUCACCAAGGCUUCGACGGGUAGCUGGUCUGAGAGGACGAUCAGCCACACUGGCAC